RNAcentral lists this ribosomal RNA (256 nucleotides) under uncultured bacterium. RNAcentral's name for it is "partial 16S ribosomal RNA". It matches the Rfam family "Bacterial small subunit ribosomal RNA", at positions 524 to 776 of the family's 1533-position model. The record is from RNAcentral.
UACGUAGGGGGGCAAGCGUUGUCCGGAAUUAUUGGGCGUAAAGAGCUCGUAGGCGGUCUGUCGCGUCUGCUGUGAAAACUCAGGGCUUAACCCUGAGCUUGCAGUGGGUACGGGCAGACUAGAGUGCGGUAGGGGAGACUGGAAUUCCUGGUGUAGCGGUGAAAUGCGCAGAUAUCAGGAGGAACACCGGUGGCGGAAGGCGGGUCUCUGGGCCGUAACUGACGCUGAGGAGCGGAAAGCAUGGGGAGCGAACAGG